Molecule: long non-coding RNA, 1105 nt
Filed under: Nicotiana benthamiana
Lineage: Eukaryota; Viridiplantae; Streptophyta; Magnoliopsida; Solanales; Solanaceae
Description: long non-coding RNA (NBEN_LNC014877)
Source: RNAcentral
UCAAUUUGUAUUUUUUUGCAAGCCACUUGAGUCUAGUUUUGUGGAUUUGGAAGCAUCAACAUGAAGGUAAUUUUUUCUUCUUUUUUUUGUGCUUUUCUUGUUUUGUUGUCUUUUUUUUAGUUCAAGCGAGAUCCACGCAUGAAGAAGGCGGUUUUAGGGUAUGAGGGGAUGGGUACUUAUCCCUGUCCAAUUCUUGGAGAGAUUAAUGGCCCGAUUCUUGGAGAAAUUACUCUCAAAAUGGCCCGAUUCGUUGAGAGAUUACUCUCCAAAUGGCCCGAUUCUUGGAGAGAUAACUCUCAAAAUAGCCCGAUUAUCGGAGAGGCCAACUUAAGAUGCUAAGGGACUCAUAUGUCCACCUUAAGAUUGGAAAGUUAUAAAGCUUCAACUCGAAGACGACAUCAACUUGAACAAACCCACGAAGAGGCAAACUUAAGGUGCAAAGGGACUUACGUGUCCACCUUAAAAUUGAAAAGUUAUAAAGCUUCAACAUCGACUAUAACACUUGGAAAACUUUGAAGAUUUGAUAGACUUUGCAGACUUCAAUUUGAAGAUUCGGAGGGCUUAAACAAUUCAACUUUAAGACCGACAAAUUUGAAGACUGAAACUUGAAGACCGACGAACUUAAAGACUUCGACUUUGAGACCUGGAAGGCCAAAAUAUUUCAACUUGAAGAUCACCAAAUACUAAGACUUCAACUUGAAGACCGACGGACUUGAAGACUUCAACUUUGAGACUUGGAGGGCCUAAAUAUUUCAAUUUGAAGAUCAACGAAUUGAAGACUUCAACUUGAAGACCAACGGGGUUAAAGAUUUCAACUUGGGGACUUCAACUUGAAAACACUUGAAGACUUCGAGGGCUUAAAUGUUUCAGCCUCUUUUUUGCUUUACAUUGUUCGACUUUUAUCUUAGUCGCAUAAUUUUCAGCUUUACGUGCUUGUAACAAAUGAUUCAUAUCUUGUCGUGGGAGAGUCCAAAUAAUGAACCAUUUGAUUUUUCGAAAAUUAGACUUCUAUAUAUAAAAUAUAUCCAAUCAGAAUCAUCGCAAAUAAUAUUUUGAAACCAACUUUAUAUUGCACCUCGCUAUCAAUUCCAGAUUUGUGGUGUAG